AAACGCGAUUAUUUUUUACAAUCAGAGAUAAGUCCGCAAGAUUAAUUAUCGCUUCGCAAUAUAAUAGAUAAAGUAAGUAACGCGCGUGUGAGUAACGACACGUAGAGAGUAUCGUACAAAGUGCCGCACAAUUGUCGUGUUCUUCUUAUUAGUGCGCGCGCGAUUAUAAUUAAGCGUGUUUUCGCGAAUGAGUAUUGUGUAAGUGCUAUUAAGGAGCAGAGGAUGAACAAGAGAAAAGAAACAAGCUCAGGGAAGCACCAGAUUAACAUUAUGUACAACUCCGCCGUUGCGUAUUGUAUCUCGCG
Molecule: long non-coding RNA, 305 nt
Organism: Formica exsecta
Lineage: Eukaryota; Metazoa; Arthropoda; Insecta; Hymenoptera; Formicidae
Exons: 2
Source: RefSeq, a predicted model, not a curated record